GGAGGAAUACCCAAGUCCGGCUGAAGGGAGCGGUCUCGAAAACCGCCAGGAGUCUUUACGGGCUCGCGGGGGUUCGAAUCCCUCUUCCUCCG
Molecule: transfer RNA, 92 nt
Filed under: Alteribacillus persepolensis
Lineage: Bacteria; Bacillati; Bacillota; Bacilli; Caryophanales; Bacillaceae
Also listed under: 1 other name
Description: Bacillus sp. HS-136 tRNA
Rfam family: tRNA
About the family: Transfer RNA (tRNA) molecules are approximately 80 nucleotides in length. Their secondary structure includes four short double-helical elements and three loops (D, anti-codon, and T loops).
Source: Rfam by way of RNAcentral